RNAcentral lists this long non-coding RNA (1139 nucleotides) under Felis catus (domestic cat). Its description in RNAcentral is "lncRNA (ENSFCAG00000050692.1)". The record is from RNAcentral. Lineage: Eukaryota; Metazoa; Chordata; Mammalia; Carnivora; Felidae.
CAGGGGCGGCGCCGUGAUUGGCCCGGAAUGUGGGCGGGGAGGCGGGAACAAGGCAGCCGGCUGGCGGUGUGCCAAGGCGAGCGCGGGAGGCGACUGUGGCGCGAGCGGAACCCUUCCCUGCGGUGCGGCCCCAGACCGUGGUGUAGACGAUGUUGUCUGCACGGGCCCAGCCGCUCCCUGUGCGGGCCCAGAGCCCGCGGAGUCCUCCGCCGGCAGUGGCGGGAGAGCCCCCGGUGCCAGCUGUGGUCAGGCAGCCUCCCCGACAGGUGUCUCUUCCUGCGCCUGGCACGCUGCCGCCCUCGGGCAGUCUGCUAGGGUAUCCCCACCAGGAGGGGCCUGGCAUUGUGAAAGUUACUUGUGUCCGUGGAGAAAACGCAGAACAGUGUGAAGAGGAAAACAGAAACCUGCGUCAUCUCUCACAGGGCCUCGCUUUAGAAGUUUUGGGGGUGCUGCACGGAGCCACCACUGAGAUCCUCUCCCACGCCCCCCUUCAGUUCCCUUAUGCUUGCUCACCCGAGCUGUUAACACCUCAUGCCACAAACACCUACUGACGUCCUGCUGGGUACCAGGCGGGCUGAGGAGUAUAGGGCCUGAUGCAGUGCAUCUGAAAGGACACACUCUCUAGCUGAUGGCACAGAGAAUUCGUCGUGGGCUGGGAUGUGUGGAGCCGACUUGAGAUUCAGGACAGUGGCGCGGAGCCUCAGUGGCACGGAGCCACAGCCGGGGGGUCCUCCGGGAAUGCAUCCAGUGCCCUGAGCCAGGCUGGCUGUGCCCUUGAGGGGACCUGUCUGUCUUUGCACCUUUGUAAUAUCUGUAGCACCUGGUGGAGGCUACUUGCUGACCUCACAGGGGCUUUUAUCAAAAUUAUCUAAGCUGGUGGUAUUUUUUUUUUCUAACUUCCAGAUGACUAUUAGAACAACUGUGAGAUUCACACCCCCUUCCCCCAAAAAAGAAAAAACUCAAAGCGAUGUUCCUAAGAAACGUAUUAAGUCUCUAUAUUUGGGAGAAAGUUAACAAUCUUUAUGCUAUUUAUUCUUACUAUACAUCUCCAUAGUGUUUCAUGCUGUAUAUCUCAUAGCAGAAUGCACAGAUUUCCUCUAAUACAGGUUCCUAGGUAUUAAAAGCUCCUUCUGGAAACU